AGUUGAUAGAUAAUAAAUAUUGUCUAACGUAUGAAAUAGUAUAUACUGACUAACUUGAUUCAGUGAACUAUGCCACCAUCAUGAUAAUAUUGAGAUAUUUUCAGUGAUAUCACCAAAAUUAAUGUGGGGUUUUGCAAUGAUAUAUUUACAAUACAUUUGAUUUGAAUAGGAGAUAAAGAUUCCUUUUCUAAGGAUGUAAAGAAACUCAACCAUACCUUUCCUAAGGAUGUAAAGAUAAAUCAAUCGAAAACCAAUUGUCAACCAAUGAUCUUUUCAAUUUUAUAUUGAAAAAUGAAAAAUAUGUUAUUGACCUCCAUUUACUUUGUUCUCGCCCGUUC
Molecule: long non-coding RNA, 338 nt
Filed under: Phoenix dactylifera (date palm)
Lineage: Eukaryota; Viridiplantae; Streptophyta; Magnoliopsida; Arecales; Arecaceae
Description: long non-coding RNA (PDAC_LNC003136)
Source: RNAcentral